UGGUGGAGUGAUUUGUCUGGUUAAUUCCGAUAACGAACGAGAUCGCAUCCUACUAAAUAGUGGCGUUAACCAUCUAUACGGGUGAAGGCUGUUGGAUUUAGGGGGCUGGGAAACUGGCUGCUUUGGACUGGCGGUUGGAUCCUUGAUGCGUUGGCGUCAACAAAACUUCUUAGAGGGACUGUCGGUGAUUAACCGAAGGAAGUGCGGCAAUAACA
RNAcentral lists this ribosomal RNA (215 nucleotides) under uncultured eukaryote. RNAcentral describes it as "partial 18S ribosomal RNA". It matches the Rfam family "Eukaryotic small subunit ribosomal RNA", at positions 1299 to 1458 of the family's 1831-position model. The record is from RNAcentral.